RNAcentral lists this ribosomal RNA (615 nucleotides) under uncultured Anaplasma sp. RNAcentral's name for it is "bacterial SSU rRNA". It matches the Rfam family "Bacterial small subunit ribosomal RNA", at positions 841 to 1453 of the family's 1533-position model. Lineage: Bacteria; Pseudomonadati; Pseudomonadota; Alphaproteobacteria; Rickettsiales; Anaplasmataceae. The record is from RNAcentral.
CCGUGUUGUAGCUAACGCGUUAAGCACUCCGCCUGGGGACUACGGUCGCAAGACUAAAACUCAAAGGAAUUGACGGGGACCCGCACAAGCGGUGGAGCAUGUGGUUUAAUUCGAUGCAACGCGAAAAACCUUACCACUCCUUGACAUGGAGAUUAGAUCCUUCUUAACGGAAGGGCGCAGUUCGGCUGGAUCUCGCACAGGUGCUGCAUGGCUGUCGUCAGCUCGUGUCGUGAGAUGUUGGGUUAAGUCCCGCAACGAGCGUAACCCUCAUCCUUAGUUGCCAGCGGGUAAUGCCGGGCACUUUAAGGAAACUGCCGGUGGUAAACUGGAGGAAGGUGGGGAUGAUGUCAAGUCAGCACGGCCCUUAUGGGGUGGGCUACACACGUGCUACAAUGGUGACUACAAUAGGUUGCAAUGUCGCAAGGCUGAGCUAAUCCGUAAAAGUCAUCUCAGUUCGGAUUGUCCUCUGCAACUCGAGGGCAUGAAGUCGGAAUCGCUAGUAAUCGUGGAUCAGCAUGCCACGGUGAAUACGUUCUCGGGUCUUGUACACACUGCCCGUCACGCCAUGGGAAUUGGCUUAACUCGAAGCUGGUGCGCUAACCGAAAGGAAGCAGC